RNAcentral lists this microRNA precursor (103 nucleotides) under Marmota monax (woodchuck). The record is from RNAcentral. Lineage: Eukaryota; Metazoa; Chordata; Mammalia; Rodentia; Sciuridae.
AGUGGGAUAGCUAGGUCAAAUGGUGGUUCCAUUCCAAGUUUUCCAAGGAACCUUCAUACUACUUUUUAGAUUGGUUACACCAAUUUGUAGUCCUACCAGCAAU